CGGGGUGUGACGCAGUUGGUAGCGUGCGUGCUUUGGGAGCAUGAAGUCGGAGGUUCAAGUCCUCUCACCCCGACCA
Molecule: transfer RNA, 76 nt
Filed under: Desulfovibrio sp. OttesenSCG-928-F07
Lineage: Bacteria; Pseudomonadati; Thermodesulfobacteriota; Desulfovibrionia; Desulfovibrionales; Desulfovibrionaceae
Description: tRNA-Pro
Rfam family: tRNA
About the family: Transfer RNA (tRNA) molecules are approximately 80 nucleotides in length. Their secondary structure includes four short double-helical elements and three loops (D, anti-codon, and T loops).
Source: RNAcentral